UACGUAGGGUGCAAGCGUUAUCCGGAAUUAUUGGGCGUAAAGAGCUCGUAGGCGGUUUGUCGCGUCUGCUGUGAAAACUGGAGGCUCAACCUCCAGCCUGCAGUGGGUACGGGCAGACUAGAGUACUGCAGGGGAGACUGGAAUUCCUGGUGUAGCGGUGGAAUGCGCAGAUAUCAGGAGGAACACCGGUGGCGAAGGCGGUUCUCUGGGGCAUGUCCUGACGCUGAGGAGCGAAAGUGUGGGGAGCGAACAGG
Molecule: ribosomal RNA, 254 nt
Filed under: uncultured bacterium
Lineage: Bacteria
Description: partial 16S ribosomal RNA
Rfam family: Bacterial small subunit ribosomal RNA
Source: RNAcentral